UACGUAGGGCGCAAGCGUUGUCCGGAAUUAUUGGGCGUAAAGAGCUCGUAGGCGGUUUGUCGCGUCUGCUGUGAAAACGCGGGGCUUAACCUCGCGCGUGCAGUGGGUACGGGCAGACUAGAGUGCGGUAGGGGAGACUGGAAUUCCUGGUGUAGAGGUGGAAUGCGUAGAUAUCAGGAGGAGCACCGGUGGCGUAGGCGGGUCUCUGGGCCGUUACUGACGGUGAGGUGCGAUAGCAUGGGGGGCGAACAGG
This 253-nucleotide unclassified non-coding RNA is filed under the name uncultured Allobogoriellaceae bacterium. Its description in RNAcentral is "uncultured Bogoriellaceae bacterium contains 16S-23S intergenic spacer region". It matches the Rfam family "Bacterial small subunit ribosomal RNA", at positions 524 to 776 of the family's 1533-position model. The record is from RNAcentral. Lineage: Bacteria; Bacillati; Actinomycetota; Actinomycetes; Allobogoriellales; Allobogoriellaceae.